ACUUCUUGUCUUCGUACGUAGCUUGCCCUGUGACUGUUUCUUGAUGUGAGGAGAGAGCUUCGUUACAGAUUCGUGGCUCUUGGAUUUGUGAUCCAUGAGGUUCUUGGGUGGUUUGGUUUGGUUGGAUGGAUGGAUGCCUUGGUUACUGCAUAAGGAUUUCUUGGUGAUAUUUCUUCUCCGCGUGAUAGAGGGGAUCUUGUUUCUGUGGCUUACGUAAUCUCUUCUGAGAAAUCUGCCUAAGAUUAGUACUUACUGAGCACAGAAUGACUUGGAUCAGUGCAUAGAGUUUUAUAUGUUCAGGUGAAGAAGGCAUACAGUUACUUUGAGCUGCUACCAGUAUAAUUUGACUUGCCUUUGAAUUGGUGUGAAAACUUUGAAUUAUACUAGUAAUUUAUGAGGUAAAAUUGACGUUAGAUUACUGGGAGAACUUGCAAAUGUUGAUAUUAUGAGGAAACACUGAGAGUCUGUUGUCAUCUGUCAUGAUGAACAGAUGUUGGCAAUUUUGCAUAUUUUAAUGCAAAUUGCAAAAAUUCCAAAGUUGUUAUAAUUAAAGGAAAUCGGUGGCAUUGCACUGGAUCGGAUGGUUCAUAUAGCUUAUUUAAAGCAAUGCUUAAGUACCUUAAUCAAUGUAGUCCGGUCCAGAAGAAAACAGAAAAGCUCUAGGGGUCACCCAAGCACAACAAAUGACAGCACAUGAUUCAGAUCUCGCUGAAGUCAAGGAGCAUUUCUUUACCAAUGCUUUGCUUCUCCACAUCAAUGUCAUGUGUUAAGCGAAUAGAAAAUGCCAACUUUCUUGUUACAAGUGUACACUGCCAUGUGCUUCUUGCCUGACCUGGAGUCUCCAGCAUCAUUGGAUUCCAAAUGUGUACUUGGGUCACACACUUGAUUUGGUAUCAGGUCUGGUUUGAAAAGCUCCGUUGAUAUAUUAGUUGCAUGUUUAUCCUUGUGUAUUGCACUGAUUUCUUGGUUUAGGUAUUUCAAAUCGCUGCAACAUAUCAAUUCUUGAAAAUUUUCCAGUGCUGGUUGCUGGCCAGGAAGCAAGGCAAUUGGUUAAUUAUUUUUUUCUACAUCUUAUCAGAAAAAUUUUAGAUCUUGUACGGGGUGGCACAAAUAAAUGUAAACAAACCUACUAUUUGAAUUCCCAAACCAGCAGCCUGCUGGCUCUAAAGUCCCAAGUCCCAGUUACUACUAGAAUUUGGCUUUCAUGUGAACAUACUUGAUAGACUUAGCGAACUCCUAUCAUGCUGUUUAUAUUUGAGCUCUGUUAGCUUCACUAUAUCGUUUUUUU
Phragmites australis (common reed) is the source of this 1288-nucleotide long non-coding RNA. RefSeq lists it as uncharacterized. The record is from RefSeq and is a predicted model, not a curated record. The transcript has 2 exons. Lineage: Eukaryota; Viridiplantae; Streptophyta; Magnoliopsida; Poales; Poaceae.